RNAcentral lists this ribosomal RNA (549 nucleotides) under uncultured bacterium. Its description in RNAcentral is "bacterial SSU rRNA". It matches the Rfam family "Bacterial small subunit ribosomal RNA", at positions 108 to 689 of the family's 1533-position model. The record is from RNAcentral.
GAGUAACACGUGACCAACCUGCCCUCGAGUGGGGAAUAACUCCGGGAAACCGGAGCUAAUACCGCAUAACAUCGCAAGAUCAAAGCCGCAAGGCGCUUGAGGAGGGGGUCGCGGCUGAUUAGCUAGUUGGUAGGGUAAUGGCCUACCAAGGCGAAGAUCGGUAGCCGGCCUGAGAGGGCGCACGGCCACACUGGAACUGAAACACGGUCCAGACUCCUACGGGAGGCAGCAGUGGGGAAUUUUGCGCAAUGGGGGAAACCCUGACGCAGCAACGCCGCGUGGAGGAUGAAGUCCCUUGGGACGUAAACUCCUUUCGACCGGGACGAUACUGACGGUACCGAAAGAAGAAGCACCGGCUAACUCUGUGCCAGCAGCCGCGGUAAUACAGAGGGUGCGAGCGUUGUUCGGAAUUAUUGGGCGUAAAGGGCGCGUAGGCGGUGCGGUAAGUCACCUGUGAAAUCUCCUGGCUCAACUGGGAGCUUGCAGGCGAAACUGCCGUGCUGGAGUGUGGGAGAGGUGCGUGGAAUUCCCGGUGUAGCGGUGAAAUGC